This 819-nucleotide ribosomal RNA is filed under the name uncultured bacterium. RNAcentral's name for it is "bacterial SSU rRNA". It matches the Rfam family "Bacterial small subunit ribosomal RNA", at positions 1 to 812 of the family's 1533-position model. The record is from RNAcentral.
GAAUUCGCCCUUAGAGUUUGAUCCUGGCUCAGGACGAACGCUGGCGGCGCGCCUAACACAUGCAAGUCGAACGGAGUUAUUUUGGCAGAAGCCUUCGGGCGGACGCUGAUAUAACUUAGUGGCGAACGGGUGAGUAACACGUGAGCAACCUGCCCUUCAGAGGGGGACAACAGUUGGAAACGACUGCUAAUACCGCAUAAGACCACGGUGUGGCAUCACACAGAGGUCAAAGGAGAAAUCCGCUGAAGGAUGGGCUCGCGUCCAAUUAGCUAGAUGGUGAGGUAACGGCCCACCAUGGCGACGAUUGGUAGCCGGACUGAGAGGUUGAUCGGCCACAUUGGGACUGAGACACGGCCCAGACUCCUACGGGAGGCAGCAGUGGGGAAUAUUGCACAAUGGAGGAAACUCUGAUGCAGCGACGCCGCGUGGGGGAAGAAGGUCUUCGGAUUGUAAACCUCUGUUGUCAGGGACGAUAAUGACGGUACCUGACGAGGAAGCCACGGCUAACUACGUGCCAGCAGCCGCGGUAAAACGUAGGUGGCAAGCGUUGUCCGGAAUUACUGGGUGUAAAGGGAGCGCAGGCGGGAGAGCAAGUUGGAAGUGAAAUCUGUGGGCUCAACUCACAAAUUGCUUUCAAAACUGUUUUUCUUGAGUGGUGUAGAGGUAGGCGGAAUUCCCGGUGUAGCGGUGGAAUGCGUAGAUAUCGGGAGGAACACCAGUGGCGAAGGCGGCCUACUGGGCACUAACUGACGCUGAGGCUCGAAAGCAUGGGUAGCAAACAGGAUUAGAUACCCUGGUAGUCCAUGCCGUAAACGAUGA